AUUGAACGCUGGCGGCAUGCCUUACACAUGCAAGUCGAACGGCAGCACGGGUGCUUGCACCUGGUGGCGAGUGGCGAACGGGUGAGUAAUACAUCGAAACAUGUCCUGUAGUGGGGGAUAGCCCGGCGAAAGCCGGAUUAAUACCGCAUACGAUCUACGGAUGAAAGCGGGGGACCUUCGGGCCUCGCGCUAUAGGGUUGGCCGAUGGCUGAUUAGCUAGUUGGUGGGGUAAAGGCCUACCAAGGCGACGAUCAGUAGCUGGUCUGAGAGGACGACCAGCCACACUGGGACUGAGACACGGCCCAGACUCCUACGGGAGGCAGCAGUGGGGAAUUUUGGACAAUGGGCGAAAGCCUGAUCCAGCAAUGCCGCGUGUGUGAAGAAGGCCUUCGGGUUGUAAAGCACUUUUGUCCGGAAAGAAAUCCUUGGCUCUAAUACAGUCGGGGGAUGACGGUACCGGAAGAAUAAGCACCGGCUAACUACGUG
Molecule: ribosomal RNA, 486 nt
Filed under: uncultured bacterium
Lineage: Bacteria
Description: partial 16S ribosomal RNA
Rfam family: Bacterial small subunit ribosomal RNA
Source: RNAcentral